UUACUCUGUUAUCUCUUCAUAUCAUAUAAAUAUUUCACACUUUACUAAAGAUUUCCUUGGAUAGAAACAGGCAUGAGUGUCAGGGGAAUUUUUAAAGGCUCCGUUUUGUUUUUUAGGAGGU
Struthio camelus australis is the source of this 121-nucleotide small nuclear RNA. Its record names the gene U5. It matches the Rfam family "U5 spliceosomal RNA". Rfam says of the family: U5 RNA is a component of both types of known spliceosome. The precise function of this molecule is unknown, though it is known that the 5' loop is required for splice site selection and p220 binding, and that both the 3' stem-loop and the Sm site are important for Sm protein binding and cap methylation. The record is from Ensembl. Lineage: Eukaryota; Metazoa; Chordata; Aves; Struthioniformes; Struthionidae.